GAAGGCAUAGCUCAGUGGUAGAGCACGUGCUUAGCACGUACAAGGUCCUGGGUUCAAUCCCCAGCACCUCCA
This is a transfer RNA of Camelus ferus (Wild Bactrian camel), 72 nucleotides long. It matches the Rfam family "tRNA". Rfam says of the family: Transfer RNA (tRNA) molecules are approximately 80 nucleotides in length. The record is from Rfam. Lineage: Eukaryota; Metazoa; Chordata; Mammalia; Artiodactyla; Camelidae.